UACGUAGGGUGCAAGCGUUGUCCGGAAUUAUUGGGCGUAAAGAGCUCGUAGGCGGUCUGUCGCGUCGGCUGUGAAAACCCGGGGCUCAACCCCGGGCCUGCAGUCGAUACGGGCAGACUAGAGUGCGGUAGGGGAGACUGGAAUUCCUGGUGUAGCGGUGAAAUGCGCAGAUAUCAGGAGGAACACCGGUGGCGAAGGCGGGUCUCUGGGCCGCAACUGACGCUGAGGAGCGAAAGCGUGGGGAGCGAACAGG
Molecule: ribosomal RNA, 253 nt
Filed under: uncultured bacterium
Lineage: Bacteria
Description: partial 16S ribosomal RNA
Rfam family: Bacterial small subunit ribosomal RNA
Source: RNAcentral